Long non-coding RNA from Venturia canescens, 573 nucleotides. RefSeq lists it as uncharacterized. The record is from RefSeq and is a predicted model, not a curated record. NCBI's taxonomy places the organism in Eukaryota, Metazoa, Arthropoda, Insecta, Hymenoptera, Ichneumonidae. The transcript has 3 exons.
UUUUUUUUCGGUGCACUUAGAAAUGUGGGUUUGCGUGCAAGCAAGUUACUUCCUGGGCAAAAAAGUCGAAGGUCAACGGGGAAAAAAGCGACAGGCAAAGUGUUUCUGGGUGCCUCUGCGCACGAAUACUCUCGCGAAUGAGAGAGUUCAACACUUUUUCACGAGGCUCGUCGUCCUCCCGACGAAAUCUUGUCGCCGCCGGAUCACUCGAGCCUCGCCGUCCUCUCUCGGAGCAGGGGAAAAAUUCGUUCUCUCGUUGCAACGAGUCGGCAGGACUGUUCUUUAUUGGAAUUCUCUUAGGUUGGACGAGAGUGGUGUCCACACGCAUUUACGUACAUGCUCAGCGACAAUUCGACGAUGGAUCAGCCUUGAAAAAAAAUUUUUGGAAGUAGAAGAAAAAUCGUAAAGGAGAAGAGACUGAAAUAAGCGAAGUGACGAAUAAAUUGUUGAGAUACCGAUGCAACUCACUGGACGAAUAACUUUCAAAGGGACGAUGUAAAAAUGUGCUCAAGUACGUGUGCUCGCGGAGCAUUGAAAAAGCGACUAUUGAAAAAAAAUAUAUACAUAAAUAAA